GGGGGGUGUAACUCUCCGCUCCCGGAAUCAUGACAAGCGAGCUUCUGGCAUUUUCAGCGGGGACGCACUUUCAUAAGUUGCGCUGUUAUUUCAGUACCAUCGUCAUCGUUACACAAGAUAAAGCGGACAUGGGUGACGUUCCAAUGAUCUGAACAUGGAGGUUCAGCCGAAGAAAAGAUCGAGGAACCGAACGAGGUCCUCCACUGCCAGUGAUGGAUUUGGACUGGAUUUGCCAUUUGGAUUUGCAUGAUGGUUGCCAGGUCCACGUCACAAAUCCCCCCCUCUGUUUGACCACUGAAAGAUGUUCACUGACGUUUCAGAAAAGGGAGAAGCUCACUUUGCCCUCAAGGUCCAGUAUUUCUCUCUCUCUCUCUCUAGAUGGAUGACAUCAUUAUCAGUGAUAUACUGUGAGUUUGAUGUAUAUGGGGUAUUUCUCUCUCUGGUCUCUCUCUCCCUCUUACUCACACACACACACACACACCACACACACACACACACACACACACACACACACACACACACAAACAAAAACACACAGACACACACUCCUUCUCUUCCUUCUUUCCCUAUGAAGAUAGUGGUGGGCACAACCACAGCAUAGAUGACAUCAUUAUCAGUAAUAUACUGUGAGUUUGUGUAUGCCGGGAUUUGUGUGUGUGUGUGUGUGUGUGUGUGUGUGGCGUGUGUGUGUGUGUGCACGUGUGUGUGUUCCCUGCAUGUUACUUCCUUUGAGUGAAAGAGCAGGAAACUUUUUGACAGGCAGGGCGGAGAACAUCCCCUCCUCCUCCCCUUCCACAGAAGUCCCAUUCACUCCCACCCAGCAAGGACCCCCAGCUCUCCUCUAACAAGGCCAAAAGAGUGUGUUUGUGUUUGUGUGUGUGUGUGUGUGUGUGUGUGUGUGUGUGUGUGUGUGUGUGCGUGUGUGCGUGCGUUCACUCAGCCCCAAGCUUUCUCCCGCUCUACUAUUAGUGUGUGCAUGUGUGUGUGUGUUUAAGUUUAUGUACUAGUUUGUGUACAAGCGUGUUGGUGUGUGUGCGUUCAUGUACAAACAUGCAUGUCUUUGUGGUUUGUGCAUGUAUGUACUGUAUUUGGUUAUACUUGUGGAUCUAGGGAAAUACUAUGCUAUCCUCUACUGGUUGUUUGUUGCUGGGUUGAAAUGGUUGAAACUCUUUCGAUGCAUAACAUCUGUUUCAUCAGCAGUUACGGCUAGAGUGGCCAUGUUUGUGUAUUCAUGGAAGCUGUUAGACUUUUUGAUGUUGUGUGUAAUUUGUGUUAUGGUCUAAUUUUUGUGGUCGUAUGCUGUGGUUAUGAGGUCGUGUGCAUUUACGUUGUGCAUUUGUGUGUGUUUAUGUUGUUGCGGUAUAGUAUUGUAUGUGUAUGUUGUUGUGGUUGAAUCAGUACGUUUUGUAGCUGCUUGAGUUGGCAGGAGUUUGGGCUCAGUGGUUUAAAUGGUUUUGCCUCUCUGGGGUUGCCUGUUUUUGAGGGAAUUUCUCGUCUUUUUGUGGCAUUGAGGUUUUGCACGUGUCUCUGUGGUUCCAGGGGUUCUUGCGCAUGUGUUUGAGUUUUGUCGGGACUUGUAGUGUAAGUGUAUUCUAAACGAUAUGACUGUACUGUGAUGAGACCAAUCAAUGCUGGUGUUUAAUAUGGAUCAAAUAAAACAAAAUAUGAAAAUCUAUAUUUUAUAGGUUGAAAAUGGCUUAACACACCUAUGUUGACGUAGGUUAGGCCCUUUAGUACAUAGCUACGCCAUGAAAUACAUAGACUCUCAGUCCAGUAAACUCUCAGUAUAUGACAGCAUAUGACAUUUGCCAUGACAAGUCUAUGACAUGGUUAUGUUAGUCUUAUGAAGCAGGCUUCAAGUAAAGUAUUACCCAGGUUUGUGGGUCUGAAGUUGCAUUGAUAUGUCCCAUGUCAGUAAAGUCUUGGAAUACCAUAUCAGUAAAGUCUUGGAAUACCAUGCCAGUAAAGUCUUGGAAUACUAUGUCAGUAAAGUCUUGGAAUACCAUGUCAGUAAAGUCUUGGAAUACCAUGUCAGUAAAGUCUUGGAAUACCAUGUCAGUAAAUGUCGAUAUUUGAGGACAUAUUAGAGUCUACUUUAGCAUUAGUGGCCCACAUGUCCACAUAACAGUAAAGCCUUUGACUGUGUGUUGCAUUCAGAGGAAAAACAGCCUCACCAUUUACUCGAAUUACACAACUAUUAGGUAUUUUCUUUGAAGUCUGUGCAUGGCGAAAGUGCACACGCAUUUGUGUAUGCAUGUGUGUGUGUAUAUGUAUAUGUGUGUGGGCGGGGGGUUUGUUUGCACUUGCCCUCUCGUUGUUGAUCUACAGUAUGUGUGUAUAUAUAUAUAUAUAUAUAUAUUAGUGCUGUCAAACGAUUAAAAUAUUUAAUCGCGAUUAAUCGCAUUUAUGUCAUAGUUAACUCAAAAUUAAUCGCGAUUAAUCGCAAAUUUUUAUCUAUUCUAAAUGUCCCUUCGUUUAUUUAUUUUUUUCCAUCAUUUUAUUUUUAUUUUAAUGCCCUUAUCAACAUGGAAAAGUGGAUUGGCUUGCUUUAUGCAAAUAUUUUAUUUUAUUGAAAACCAAUAUUGCCAAACAGGGCGGUACAAAAUAAAAUUAUAAAGUGCACAUUUCAGGUAAACAAGGACUCAGCCUAUAGUGCAGUUAAACCAUGGCUUAAUAUUUUCUUUUUUUCAAGUUUGCUGGGAACAUAGCUGUCAGGCCUCUUAUUUCAGAAACAUUGAACCGUAACAGUAAGGUUACCAAUAAAAGGUAAGCCUACUACUUCUUUGCUUUCAGCCAGCUGCCUGUUGACAUUUUCAGACAACAGUGAAGCUCGCUUCUUUUGCACAACACAACUUUUAAAAGUAAACUUUCCAUUCAGAAGCUUUUUAUCAUCUAUGUCGCCGUAUCGCGCUCACCAUUCACUCAAACUGUAACGUUAGCCUACUACACAGUUUGCGAGGCCAAAAAGAAUGUAAAUCUAAAAAAAAAAAAAAAAAAAAAGAAAUCGCGUUAAUCUCGCGAUAAAAAAAUUAACGGCGUUAAAAUGGGUUUGCGUUAACGCCGUUAAUAACGCGUUAAACUGACAGCACUAAUAUAUAUAUGUGUAUGUGUGUGUGUGUGUUUGUGUACUAGUGUUUGGCGUCUUUGAUGAUGGAUGUAUGGAGUUGAUGACGGAUUGUUGUUGCGGUUGCAGGAUGCCUCGCAGCCGGUUACACCCCAUAUCUUCUCAAUAGUCAAAUCAGUUCUUUAUGUUCCAUAUCGUUUCCCCUCAGUAGAUAACAAUGAGCAUACACACCACAUAGAUGCGUAGGUAGGUAGAUAACUAUGAGGUAAUGCAUUUGUCAGGUACAUGAGGUAAUAAAAGUGUCCCUCUCUCAUAAUCUUUCCUUAUCUUGAUUUGUUAUUAUUUGCUUUAUUGGAAAUAGAAAAUAAUAUGUAUUUAAUGCAUAAAAGUUAAGAAAAUUAGCAAUAUUGAGGAUCCACACCUUCACUCCCUUACUGCUUUGUCUCUUUUAUCUCUGCUUCUUUCUCUCACUACUGUGAUUGAUCUAGAGGAUAGGGUGUGGCGGUGCACUAUGGAGGUGUGUGUGUAUGUGUGUGUUUGUGUGUGGUGUGUGUGCGUAAUUGUGUGUGUGUACGUAGAUGUGUGUGUGUGUGUGUGUUUGUGUGUGGUGUGUGUGCGUAAUUGUGUGUGUGUAUGUGUGUGUGUGUGUGGUGUGUGUGUGCGUAAUUGUGUAUGUGGUGUGUGUGCGUAGAUGUGUGUGUGUGUGUGUGUAUGUGUGUGUGCGUAUAUUUGUGUGUGUGUGUGUGUGUGUGUGUGUGUGUGUGUGUGUGUGUGUGUGUGUGUGUGUGUUUACUUCCCUGUGUAUUGGGAUGGAAAUGUACUGGAGACUAAAUGUUGAGUAAGAGGAGAGAUCUUUGGCACUGGGGUUUUUGGGCAUAAAAAAAGAAGUGAUGUCAUCACCUUGCUCAGUGAUUGGCCGAGCACUUGAGGGCGUAGCGGAGAAAGUGAUGGGUGGGUGUGUCCAUUGACCUACAUGUCCAUAACGACUCAGCCAGGUAACACAGGUGUAUUUGAACCUUCACGAGUGUGUGUGUGUGUGUGUGUGUGUGUUUUGAGCUUAGAUAAUAUUUUUUUGUGUUGAGUCUGAGCUUUGUGUGUGUGUUUUAGGACCCUCAACACUGCAGGAUUACUACACACUUUAUGGCAAGCCCCAAAAGGUCUGUGCCCAGGUGAGUGUGCACCUGUCUCAACUGCCAUAUACUCCCAAACUCACACGCACACACACACACACACACACACGCGCACGCACACACACACACACACACACACUGGAGCAGAUCUUCCUAUGCUGCCAAUGGAUGUUACUGUAUCGUAUAUGAAUGAGUUUGCUGACACACCUCCUGCUAACAACAUAACCUGUUGGCACACUUCUUUUAUAUUAUCCAUAAUUCUAGCGUGUUAUAUGGCUGGAGAUUGUUUUUGUCUAACUGGCUAGUUCUCUUCUAUUGUGUUCUCUGUGUGUUUCUGUGUGUGGGCUGAUCUCUGUGUGCUUGUGUGAGUGCUCUGCUCAGACUGGCGCCUGCCCUGACAGAAGAGCUUCCAGCAGCGCUGAAGGUGUGCACUUGGCUCCUCCACUGUCACCUCCAUGCUGUGCCAUGGUAACGCCGAUGUUUGUUUGAGUUGAUAGAGUCACUUCCUCACCCAACCAGUCAUGCACAUGCUGAGCUCUUCCAGCUGUCCCUCUCUCUCUCUCUCUCUCUCUCUCUCUGUGUGUGUGUGUGUGUGUGUGUGUGUGUGUGUGUGUGUAUGUGUGUGUGUGCGCAAAUGCAUCCAUAGAGCUCAUGUUUGUAUGAGAAUAUAUAUCAGAAUAUAUUUUCGUGUGUGUACUUGUGUAAUGUGUGUGCGUUUGUAAGUUCAUGUUUGGAUGGAUGUGUGUGUUUUUUGUGAGUGAGUAUUUGUGUAUGUGAGUGUGUGUGUAUGUGUAUGUAUAUAUACACACAUAGUUUGUGUGUGUUUGGGAGGGGGGGGUAUUCUUGUCUUCACCUUACAUUGUGUGGUUGCAGCACUGCCUUGGUCCGUCCCCCAAAGUCUUCCCCGGGAAGCUGGUUUCAGAUGGUGGAUUAGAUGUACGCUUCUCUGGUCUAGCACCAUUUGAAAUCAGUGUUCCCGGGGGCAGAAGAGCAUCUGUGACACAGGGGUCACCAAGAGGUCAAGACAGGGUCAUUCACAGCCUACACGUGGAUCACACAAUCACAAGGACUGGAUAUACAGACAAAAUAAAAAAUACCACACCAUAAAAAUAUUACACCAAUUUCCACUCCACAGGAUUAGAAAUAUCUAUGGUUCCUACACAACUGAAGUGUAUCCGUAUGACAUUCAUUUGAUGUUAUUGGUUUCCUUGCCUGUAGGGAUUCUGUAUAACACAGGGCUGGAGUGGUGAUAUGUAAACUGGGUAGUCUUACUGAAGGUGGCAGUGAAAGAACAAAUUAGCCUAGCUUGCAAAUGAGUGCAUAAGUUACAGUGCUGUCAUUAAUUACUGUGCAUGACCUGCUAUGUAAGCAUGGUUGCUGUAUAGCCUUGCGGUGAGAGAGCCAACUACACGCACAAAUUGGACUAAAAAACAGACACAAAGGUCAUUAUCUUUUGAUGAAUGUGUGCUACCUCAAAUAUAUCCCCAUCCAGCAACGUACCACAGGCAAUAUUUUAGUGUGCAAGGCCAUGGGUAACAAGAGGCAACACACACACACACACACACACACAAACACAAGCUCUCUGCCUCCCUCUCCCACCCUGACAUUUCUCCCCCCACCUAAAGAUGACUGAUUUCCUCUGGUGUUUAGAGCCGCCUUGCCUUCUAGCACCAUUUGAAAUCGGUUAUGAUGACUGGGGAUCAAUGCUGCAGUGCAAACCUACCGGCACACGGGAGAGAGGGGCGAUCACAGGGACAGACUUCAGAGCUACAACAGCAGAGCUACAAUACAGACUUCAGAGCUACUUUGUGGGAAUAGCUGAAAUGUAUAGGAAUGAUUAUUUUUAAAGCAACUAUCAUCCUACCACAGAUAAUAAGGCUGUAUCUCUCUCUUUCUCUCUCUCUAUCUCUCUAUCUUUCAUCUAUCUAUCUAACUAAGUUUGGCUGGCUGUCUUUCUUUUGAUUUGUCUCUCCAUCUGUCUGUCUGUAUAACCAAAUAAAGUUUUUAAAGACCAUUUCCUUACUAUUUUCAUUCCCUUGUAGCCUCCUCAUUCAGACUGCCAGCUCUGCCACCUAGUGUCAUUUUUUUGCAAUUACAUCAAUUACACAUCAACGACACUCAAACGCACCGUAACCUGACCUACUUGAACUAACUAAGCUUUGCUGUUUAGUUUGUUAGAGGGCAGCCAUUUUUUCAGUUGAUGACUGUUACCUUCUGAUGCCAGCACAAUAAAUCAGUUACAGUUACAAUGACGUAAGUGAUGGCAGGUUGGUAGGAACAGACUGUGCAGAUGAAGUGUUUUGAACUCCGAGUGAACUCUGUUGUAGUGAAUAGAAGAGUGCCCCGUAAUGGCGGCACCACGGAGGCCUGGGCAGCAGAAACGGCAGAGCUCCUUCUCUCGUUUGUCUCCAGAGAAUAACACACUGCGGCCAUGCCUGGAGCCCGACCCUAUCUACUGCUCUAUAAAUAACCUGUGUGGGUGUGUUUGUUAUCUCGCUCACUAAAGAUGUGCCUUGAUGAGUUGCUGUGACAUUGUUGAGCUUGUGUUGCAUGUGCACACACACACACACACACACACACACACACACACACACACACACACACACACACACACACACACACACACACACACACACACACACACACACACACACACAGCGCAGUAUAUGAUGCUAUACUGUAUAUCUAUAUCUAUGUUGUGCCUUACCUAUCUCUUGCUUAUCUGUCGAACCAGGAACAGCUCAAUAGCAAGUGACGUCAUGAGAAGACGUGAAUAGACAACCCGCAAACUCUCAAAGCAGUUAUCAACUUCUUAUAUUCAAUCAGAAAUAAUUACUUAUUAUUUUUUAGAGUAGAAAUUUGAAACAAAGAAGAUAAAUAAAUGCUUUAAGGGCAACACAACGUCCCUUUUGUGACUUCGGCUUCCUCACAGGUAGAUUACACAGUGUGUCAGUGUGUGUUUGGUGAUCACACAUUGUGUCAUUUCUUAAGAUGACUUCAGAGAGGCCACAUAGGGCUCUGUGCUGCAGAGCCAGACAGGGAGAAGGCAGUACAGAACAGGAUGCCAGAUGCCAUGCAUUUGAAUGUUGUCACACCAUGGCAACUAAACUAACACUUGUCUUUCAACAAUACAACUGUACACUCAAUCAAGGUCAUUUCAGGAAGUAGCCUCUCUAUCUAAUCUCCUCAGAAUUACAGUUGUCUGUCAUGUAACUGUCAGUGGCGGUAUUCAGUGUUCUUCAACAUUGGUCUCAAAGACUCUUAUAUACCUAGAGGCUGACCUACUUAUUCAGGGGUGGGCGUUUGUUACAGCUUAGUAAAACGGGUCAAGAUUCUUCCAGAAGUAGGAUACUUCUCUUAAUGGGCAAACAGAGGCAGAGGAGUGCGGUGGGAAAAGGAUUAUGAAGUCCAGCCAAUCCAUCAAAUGUGAAAGGCCACAAUGAAAUAGCCCACAAUGCAUUUUGUGCCAAUUUGAAGAAUGUUUUUACAAUUUGCCUUGUCAUCAUUGUGAAUAAUCAGCCCAACUAGCACAGAAUCAAAUGGAUUCCCUUGUUCCCCUGUGAGACAGCAGUACCCAUUGUGUGAACAGGUUUUGGAGCUAUGUGGGGCAAGUGUGGGCUGUGUGGGCCAGGGUCAAGUGCUGCCUCAGGGAUGUACUCAGACUAUGAUGUCACAAUAGUUGAACAGUGACUGUCACGUUCCAAAUAUGGCGAAUUCUGACUCCAGGUCUGCCAGUCAGCAUUCCUCAUCUGGUGAAGAACAAUAGAAAACAAUAUGGCAAAAAAGUAAGAGUCUGUCCUAAAUGUGAUGUCAUGACCUGUUAUAACAGUAAUAAUAACCUCUUAAACUGUAACCUGUAGUAGGUGCUGAUGCAGUGGUAGAAAAAUAGUUCUACUAUUACGGUAGUCAAUACACAGUUGAUGGCAAUGCUCUACAAUAACAGAUAGAUAGUUUUUCAACCUUUACAGUUUAUAGUAUAAAUGAUAAAAAUGAAAAAAAAAAAACUGCUAAUGUCUGUUGGACUAAUCGUAUUUGUGGGUUUCCUGAGGAUAAUUUGACAAAUAACAAAUGACUUGUCUUGCCUUCUAUGCUGAGGUUGUAUGAGAAACUUUGUGUAACUACAAGUUCUGUUGUAGCAAUGCUGCGGAGAGCAAGUUCUUCAAGGCUUUCUGUCAGCCUAUCAGCAAUGAUGAGGUCAUUAGUCCUCUUGUCCAAGAGAUCUGCCAGAGGGCCAAAGGUAGGACAUCAGACUGUAACCAUGGCUACAGACGAGCUUUUCUUCUCUGCCUAUUGUGCCUUUCCUGACCUGUUAAGAAAAGUGAUGUAAAGAGAAAAAGUCGUGAUUGCGGCCCCCUUUGAGAAUUACAAAAGGCAAAUGGGCUUUUCUGAAAGGACCUCUGCAGGGUAGCCAACUGAAAAGGCCUUCUUGAUGUGAGAUUGAGCCCCCUUUCUGAAGUUGUAGCAUCAGAUGCACCGGUGCACAUAGAACAAGUUGCAGAAGUGCGGCAAAACAUGGACUGAAAUUGUCAGACAAAUUGUCAUUAUAAAUUGGCAAAAGUGAUUAUGCCAAUUUCUAUGAUCCAAGAACAAAGUUUGAGCUCUGGUUGAGUGUUGAAUGAAUGUUCAUAUUAAUGUUUUUUUUGUUUUUUUUAAAUGCUUGUUUAUACCAGUUUUAGAUUCUCAGGAGAUUUGGAACAUUUUGAGGGCAGAGACCAAAUCAAAGCUUGCUCAGCCGACAGUCUCCCAAAAAGUGCUUGCAGCUAUGAAGGUUCUGCUCUCACAAACCACAUCAGAUGACAAAUACCACUAAACAAAAACAAGAAAAGAAAAUUCUUUGAAUCUGCCCUCUCUCAGUUGCCUUGAUCAUUUCAUUCUAUUCCCACUUUCCAUAUCUCUAUCUUUACCUUCUUUCGCUCUUCAUUUUACAUUUCUCUCUCACACUCUUCUGACUCGUCCUAUACUUCCUUUUUUAUGCAUACACUUUCUCUCUAUUUUACUCACUUCUGCCCUCUCUCUUUCUCCACCAUUAUUUCUCUCUUUUUUCUUCCAUUCCAAUCUCUUCCACUCUCCCCUCUCACUCUCCUCUCUCUCCUUUCCAGUUGUUGGACGAGCAUCUGGAGUGUAAACGUGUGACAGAGGAAAAAAAACGCACCAUGUUGCAGAGGUGUCGAGUCAUUCUCAUGUUCAAAGCAUCUGAAUUUAACCUGGACCGCACGACCUUGCUGAUCGCCAACAACCCACUGCAGACUGCCGAUGACCCUGCGGGCACCGACAGCCCUACUAAAUACCUGCAUACCUAUACCCACCCCCCAAUACAGGUGACGGUCUACCUUCCCGCAACAUCCCAACAUGACACACCGUCAGGUGAAAGUCGUGUAGCCUAGAUCAGAUAGAAUGCUAACAGUAAUUAGUUAGCUUGUAAGCCUGUUGCUGGCUUGACAAUAUUGCAUCUGGCUACUAAGCCUUAUGACAUUCUUGGCGGUUGACAUCAGAGGUCUGUGCAAUUACGGUUCAAGUCCAAACUGGGCAGCAAAAUUGCUUGUAUAAGAAUCAUAUUAGGCCUCUAUUAGACCCACACCUAAAUAAAUACAAUGCUGAGCCUACGAAAGAAAGAAGGGAUGGGUGCAAAAAAAAACUAGCUACCCGCUACCAACACCUGAAACAGAGAGGGGUGAAGUGAGAUGGGUAUUCAGAGAGAUGUCAAUCAGUCUACAACUACUUCCUGUGUCAUUCCCAGUGUCAUUACUGUACUCCCUCCCAGUGUCAUUACUGUUGUAAAUCUGUACCAGACCACAAUUACUGAUAUCCUGAUGGCUUGCCAAGGGCUAUGUGGAAAGACAGUGAUGAAUACACUUCAGGAUGUAAAUUACUUUCUUCACACAACGUAGAGUUCAAUCCAAAGCUUUUUGGACUGUGACGUGUUUGUUGAGGUAUUAAUGUAAAAACAGCUGUCCCUUAACUGUUUACCCAGUAUUUAUACGUGUAAACACCCUCUUAUAAAAUCUGAGGGCAAGCACGUUAACUUUGAUGUCAUAGUUUUAUUUUCAUUUCAAAUCUGAUCUGUUGUCUUGGAGCACUGAGCAAAACAUAAGUGAAAAUGAUGUCAAGCUCCAAUACCUUUAGACUGCACUGCACUGUAUAUGACACAUCUCCAUCCUCUCCAGAAGGGGGCACCAGACUUGACCAGCUCUUGCAAACUGCCUCCUCUGAAACGACCUAUAACAUCUAAUUCACCAAGACAGGAAAGAGCGGGCAGGUAUAUCCCAACUAUUCAGUGCAUUCUGUUUUUUCCACAGCCACUAAAGUAACUGUUUCAACAAAAGAAAGUGCUAAAAAUGCUUAAAAAAAAACAACAACAUGCAUAUCGUUAGAGUGCGCAUGAUUAGGGAAAGUUGGUUUGGGGCAAGGACAACGCUAAAAGAGCUAAUGAUUUUUCUGCAGUGUUGUUGUCAAGAGGUAUUGUCAGUGCCUUUCUACGCAAACUGAAGCCAGGAAAAAUAGAUGUGAAAUCACUUGGGGCAUCUAGGUUAGGUAUACGUGGCACAUCUUUAUUUUUUUUUUUUUUUUUUAAAUCUGCCCAGAUAGUUAGGCUACUUCUUUGAGAUGACCAGGAGAGGUCUGUGUUCUAUCUGUCAUGGAAAUGGACUUGAUCAUGUCAUAAUAAACAACUUAGCGCAACUGUUUCAAUACAAGAAAAUCAAUACAUUGGAAAAAGCAUAAACCUUGUUUUAGGAUAGAACAGAUUAUAGGAUUAUUGAUACUUCAGGUAUUUGGCCUUCACUCCAGACACGUUAGAAGAGCCUCAGGUCCAAGCCUAAGUUUAUUGCUGCCUGAAUUCAAUAUCUUACUUUUAACCCACCACUGAUUUUGUUUCACAGACCGUAGUGGGGCCAAAAGUGGAGCUGUCUCUCGAGGAACCAUUGACUAUUUCAGCUCUGAUGAAAAACUCAACCGCAGUGACAGUGCCAGGUCAGGGAAGCUUUCAGGCAUGGCCAGGGCCACAUUCUGAACAUAGACAGCA
Long non-coding RNA from Clupea harengus (Atlantic herring), 11215 nucleotides. The record is from Ensembl. Lineage: Eukaryota; Metazoa; Chordata; Actinopteri; Clupeiformes; Clupeidae.